RNAcentral lists this ribosomal RNA (425 nucleotides) under uncultured bacterium. Its description in RNAcentral is "bacterial SSU rRNA". It matches the Rfam family "Bacterial small subunit ribosomal RNA", at positions 357 to 773 of the family's 1533-position model. The record is from RNAcentral.
GGGAAUAUUGGACAAUGGGCGCAAGCCUGAUCCAGCCAUGCCGCGUGGAGGACGAAGGCCUUCGGGUUGUAAACUCCUGUCGGAGGGGACGAAGGCGAUCGAGAUCAAUACCCUCGGUCGUUGACGGUACCCUACGAGGAAGCCCCGGCUAACUCCGUGCCAGCAGCCGCGGUAAUACGGGGGGGGCUAGCGUUGUUCGGAAUUACUGGGCGUAAAGCGUGCGUAGGUGGUUUGUUAAGUCUGAUGUGAAAGCCCUGGGCUCAACCUGGGAAUUGCAUUGGAUACUGGCAGUCUAGAGUGCGGUAGAGGGUAGCGGAAUUCCCGGUGUAGCAGUGAAAUGCGUAGAUAUCGGGAGGAACAUCCGUGGCGAAGGCGGCUACCUGGACCAGCACUGACACUGAGGCACGAAAGCGUGGGGAGCAAAC